This 252-nucleotide ribosomal RNA is filed under the name uncultured bacterium. RNAcentral's name for it is "partial 16S ribosomal RNA". It matches the Rfam family "Bacterial small subunit ribosomal RNA", at positions 524 to 776 of the family's 1533-position model. The record is from RNAcentral.
UACGGAGGAUGCGAGCGUUAUCCGGAUUUAUUGGGUUUAAAGGAUGCGUAGGCGGGAUGCCAAGUCAGCGGUAAAAAUGCGGUGCUCAACGCCGUCGAGCCGUUGAAACUGGCGUUCUUGAGUGGGCGAGAAGUAUGCGGAAUGCGUGGUGUAGCGGUGAAAUGCAUAGAUAUCACGCAGAACUCCGAUUGCGAAGGCAGCAUACCGGCGCCCUACCGACGCUGAGGCACGAAAGCGUGGGUAUCGAACAGG